UGAGGAAUAUUGGUCAAUGGGCGCAAGCCUGAACCAGCCAUCCCGCGUGCAGGAAGACGGCCCUCUGGGUUGUAAACUGCUUUUCCAGGGAGAGAAACUUGCGUACGCGUUGCGCAAUUGACGGUACCCUGGGAAUAAGCAUCGGCUAACUCCGUUCCAGCAGCCGCGGUAAUACGGAGGCUGCGAGCGUUAUCCGUUAUCAUUGGGUGUAAAGGGUGCGUAGGCGGACUAUUAAGUCAGUGGUGAAAUCCUGUGGCUUAACUGCAGAACUGC
RNAcentral lists this ribosomal RNA (273 nucleotides) under uncultured prokaryote. RNAcentral's name for it is "partial 16S ribosomal RNA". It matches the Rfam family "Bacterial small subunit ribosomal RNA", at positions 355 to 624 of the family's 1533-position model. The record is from RNAcentral.